CCUACUGUGGGCAGCAGUGAGGAAUAUUGGUCAAUGGACGAGAGUCUGAACCAGCCAAGUAGCGUGAAUGAUGACUGCCCUCUGGGUUUUAAACUUCUUUUAUAUGGGCAUCAAACGUUCCACGUGUGGGAUUUUGUAUGUACCAUAUGAAUAAGGAUCGGCUAACUCCGUGCCAGCAGCCGCGGUAAUACGGAGGAUCCGAGCGUUAUCCGGAUUUAUUGGGUUUAAAGGGAGCGUAGGUGGAUUGUUAAGUUAGUUGUGAAAGUUUGCGGCUCAACCGUAAAAUUGCAGUUGAAACUGGCAGUCUUGAGUACAGUAGAGGUGGGCGGAAUUCGUGGUGUAGCGGUGAAAUGCUUAGAUAUCACGAAGAACUCCGAUUGCGAAGGCAGUUCACUGGACUGCAACUGACACUGAGGCUCGAAAGUGUGGGUAUCAAACAGGAUUAGAUACCCGUGUAGUC
This 460-nucleotide ribosomal RNA is filed under the name uncultured bacterium. Its description in RNAcentral is "partial 16S ribosomal RNA". It matches the Rfam family "Bacterial small subunit ribosomal RNA", at positions 338 to 795 of the family's 1533-position model. The record is from RNAcentral.